GCGAUAAUUGGUAGAUGACUUUCGGAGGCCAUAGGAACCCUACAUUUGGAUCUUGUGAAGUAAGGAUGGGAAGCCAGAUUACCAACAAAAACCAACCACCUUAACAGAACUUGGCUAAUUUGCACACCCAACAACCUUGUUAGUUUUGAGACGCUUAACAGAUAGGAAAUCGCAUGUUGGGAUGCAAUGCACCUAAACAGUUAAACACUUCUACCAUGUGUUUGAACGGUUGCGUGUUUUAUCCCGACCUUUAAAUGUCCCUUUCCAUUCUAUACCUCUAUCAUUUCCAUUUCUGGCUCUUUUUUUUUUUAAUAUCUUGAUUUCUUUUUCUUUUUCUUUUUGUUGUUUUUCGUACUUUGUUUGUCACUAUUAUUUUUUGUCACUCUUUUCUUUCUUUUUCACUCAAUUUUUCUUUUUUUCACUCAAUUUAUUUAAUGGCAUUGAUCGAAUCCAAUAGGGAUUGCCUACGUAUCAUGACGCUGCAUGAAUCAGAGCAUUACGUAGUUUAGGAAAAUCAAGAAAGGAGUAAAUAAACUCAUUCUUUUUUUUUUUACUUUUUUAUAACACUCAGACCAUGAAAUCGUUUAGAAAAAGAAUAUAUAUUUUUACAAUUCGUUUUUUUUUCUUUUUGGAAUUUUCGAAAGAAAGGCUUUUAAAGAGGAAAGAAAAUAUUUUUGAAUUUUUGAUGUUGAUUCUUUUUGAAAUUUUUGAAAGAAAGACUUCUAAAGAAGAAAGAAAAAAAAAUGGAUUUUUGAUUUUUUUUUUUUUUUAAAUUAGGAAAAAGACUUCUAAAAAAAGGUAGAAAAUUAUUUUUUGAAUUUUAAUUUGAUUUGUUUUCUUUUUUUUAAUGAACGACUUCUGCAAAGAAAAUAUUUUUGGGUUUAAAGUUUUUACUUUUUUUUUAUUUGUUUGGGAUUUUCUAAGAAAAGACUCCUAAAGAAAGAACUAAAGGAAAAUAAAUUUUGGAUUUUUUAAAAAUUGGGGGUCGGAACAGAUGAGAUUUGCCUACCUAUCUCACACCCGGUGAGAAUCAGACUCGCGUAGGUCGGUCAGUGUUGACACAACAGGAAAAAACAUGAAUAUUAAAAAUAUUGGCUUAUUUUGAAAUGACUUUUCUUUUUUUCUCUUCUUCUUUUUUUUCAAAACUUCGGCAGAGUUUAGGAAUUUUUCAAAUACCUGAAUUUUUCAGGUACCGGAUAAAUUCUCUCUCUCUCUUGCCUCACUCUUGGUUUUUUCUUGGCUUUCUUUCCCUAUUCUAGAAACCGGUCAACAUGCAAGCCGAAGCAAAUAUAUGCACAAGUAGCACGUAAAAAUGCAUCGGGGUGGUCUUUUAUAUUGGGUACAUCUGUCCUAGAUGGACUCAACCCCUGUGUUAAGUCCCCAAAGUCAAAUGCACGUGAUGCAAACAAACGUUCCUACCAGAGAUCCGUCAUGAGGCUAUAUUAUUCUAGGUUUAAAUUCUGGGAUGUGUUGUUCUAGACCUGGCUUACCCGAGCGGACAACUCGAGCCGGGGGGAGGGGGCAGCGUACCGGGAAUACAGAAGCUUCACCGGCUUUGCAACUUGUCCGAUCCUCAUUUUGAAAUUAAGGGAAUGACUCUAACAGAAAAGAAGUCACGUGAGGCGCACGCUUCCCAGACGAUUUAGAAGACUCAGAGAGAAGAAGAAGGUUGUCGUAACAGUUUUAUAUACAGCUCACAGAAUAUCAAAGCGGUAAAUGAGUAGCAAUUAGCACAUUAAGCCCAAACAUGUAAUAUCAGACAAUCACAAGAAAGCCAAGCAUAACAAUUAUUCUAAGCUCGAAUUCUGAACCCUGAACUAGAGAUUUUGGGUUUAAAUCCCCAGCAAAGUCGCCAGAGUUGUCACACCUCAUUUUUUCUGAGGGAUAGGGAGUUUUUUCAAUUAAAGUGACAUUAUCCGAAAUGAGAUUAUUUAUUUAAUCAGAGUCGUCACUUGGAAUAAUUAUUAUGGUGUCCCAAGUCACCGGUUUAUUUUAAAAUCCCAAAUCGAGGAAAUUGACUCUAUUUUAUGGUUCGCGAGCACAGAAGAUCGGAUAAGGAAUUCUGUUAACCCGGGAGAAAGUGUGAGGCACUCCCGAGAUCUGUGAUUUUAGCACGAUCGCUUAACAAUUAAUACUUGGCCUAAUUAUCUGAUUUAUUAUAUGUUUUAAACUUAUUGUGCAUCUUUUAUCCACCGCUUUUAAUUAAGAUAUUUAUACGCUUUUAGUGUUUAUGGAGUUUAGUUGAACAAGUUACGAUGUCGUACACUUGUCGUUUUUGUACAUAUUGCAAAUCGCACCACGUGAAAUGACCCGCGAUUUACAACAUGUUUAUUUUAAUUGUUUGAAGUUGUGGUCAAGUCGCGUGAAACGCGCACGUUAGUUGGGAUUUACAUAUCAUGACCAUGUCACGGGAACCGUACCCAUGACCACGAUGAUUUAUUAAUCGUGCCUAAGACAACUAUCGCGUCUAUAAUUGUGUUUUAACUACAUUUGAGAUAUAUUGAAAGAAGGAAUUAUGGAACAAUUGAAGAAAAUGAGUCGGCUUUUGUUCUUAUUAAGUUGGCCCGAUGAAAAAUAAAUUAUUUCGUACAUGGUCUACCCAAUAAACCCGAAGCCCACUAAAACAUAACUAAAUUGUAUUAGUCACACAAUCCAACUGGCCAUUAAUCUACUAUAACUAAUGUCUAAAUGUAAACCCAAAACAGAAGGUGAAUCAACAACAUUGAAACUUAUUUUUGAUAAAUAAACAAUUGAAAAUUGGUAAGUCAAGCAAUUCCAAUUAAAUACCAAAUGAAACAGUAGAGAAUAAUGUUAAAACCAUAGACAAGAUAGGAGCAUAUCACAAAUUUUACCAAUCAAGCACAAUAAUAGCAGCAAGUAAAUCAAAGAAAACCGAGCAAUCCAAACAAAUCUGCAAAUUUAUUGAAGAGCACGGUAUUGAAAAUACACUAAGAGAAGAAAAAGGACCUUUAUUGCUGCAUAUGCUCUAACAUUCACAAUGAAAGAGGAGCUCCCAAAUUACAAUCCUAAAACGAUCUGUAGAUCAGGACUUCGACGAACCCGGAAACUUCGAACGACACCUCACUUUAACGAUGAUUUCCGAUAGUAUGUUAGUGAUGUUUUGUGCUGUUGUUUCAUGGUGGUUUUGGGAUAUUUUUGGAGCUGGAAUUUGGGGAGUUUUGGGGCUAGAUUUCAGGAUGUAUUUUAGGGAAUUUCGGGCUGUUAUCGAGCUGCUUUUAGGGAGUAAUUUUAGCUGUGUUUUGGCUGAUUUUUGGUGAGUUUUGGGGCUGUUUUGAAGCUGGUUUUCAGCAUGGUUUUGGCUGGAAUUUCGCUGGUAUUUCAGCAAUGUUUUGGGGUAUUUUUGGUGGAAGCUUGGUGUGUUUUUUCAGGGAAGGAAAACAGAGGUGUUUGGAUGGUGUUGAGGCUGCUGAUUUGGUGGAGGAGACGGGGCUAUUUAGCAGAGCUUUUUGGGCUAAAAAUGGAAGAAAGAUGGUGAAGCUUUGAUGGUCGAUUUCGUAAAGAGGGAGGCUGCGCUAUGGUGCUUUCUUUUUUCACCCCUUCCUUUGUGAAGUGUGUGCGCGCUCUAUAUCUAAUGUGAGGAAAUGGAGUAAAGUGAGUGUGUGCAGUUUAAAAUGACAUGAGGGUGUUGGAGAAAAAGGGGUAGAGUGAGUGUGUGUUAGUAUAAAAUGUGUGUGACGAAUUUUGGGAAAAAGGGAUAAAGUAGCUAGUGUAAA
This 3734-nucleotide long non-coding RNA is filed under the name Nicotiana tabacum (common tobacco). RNAcentral describes it as "long non-coding RNA (NTAB_LNC015503)". Lineage: Eukaryota; Viridiplantae; Streptophyta; Magnoliopsida; Solanales; Solanaceae. The record is from RNAcentral.